CGGGACACGUGGUAUCCUGUCUGAAUAUGGGGGGACCAUCCUCCAAGGCUAAAUACUCCUGACUGACCGAUAGUGAACCAGUACCGUGAGGGAAAGGCGAAAAGAACCCCGGCGAGGGGAGUGAAAAAGAACCUGAAACCGUGUACGUACAAGCAGUGGGAGCCUCUUAAUGGGGUGACUGCGUACCUUUUGUAUAAUGGGUCAGCGACUUAUAUUCUGUAGCAAGGUUAACCGAAUAGGGGAGCCGAAGGGAAACCGAGUCUUAACUGGGCGUUAAGUUGCAGGGUAUAGACCCGAAACCCGGUGAUCUAGCCAUGGGCAGGUUGAAGGUUGGGUAACACUAACUGGAGGACCGAACCGACUAAUGUUGAAAAAUUAGCGGAUGACUUGUGGCUGGGGGUGAAAGGCCAAUCAAACCGGGAGAUAGCUGGUUCUCCCCGAAAGCUAUUUAGGUAGCGCCUCGUGAAUUCAUCUCCGGGGGUAGAGCACUGUUUCGGCAAGGGGGUCAUCCCGACUUACCAACCCGAUGCAAACUGCGAAUACCGGAGAAUGUUAUCACGGGAGACACACGGCGGGUGCUAACGUCCGUCGUGAAGAGGGAAACAACCCAGACCGCCAGCUAAGGUCCCAAAGUCAUGGUUAAGUGGGAAACGAUGUGGGAAGGCCCAGACAGCCAGGAUGUUGGCUUAGAAGCAGCAAUCAUUUAAAGAAAGCGUAAUAGCUCACUGGUCGAGUCGGCCUGCGCGGAAGAUGUAACGGGGCUAAACCAUGCACCGAAGCUGCGGCAGCGACACUAUGUGUUGUUGGGUAGGGGAGCGUUCUGUAAGCCUGUGAAGGUGUACUGUGAGGUAUGCUGGAGGUAUCAGAAGUGCGAAUGCUGACAUAAGUAACGAUAAAGCGGGUGAAAAGCCCGCUCGCCGGAAGACCAAGGGUUCCUGUCCAACGUUAAUCGGGGCAGGGUGAGUCGACCCCUAAGGCGAGGCCGAAAGGCGUAGUCGAUGGGAAACAGGUUAAUAUUCCUGUACUUGGUGUUACUGCGAAGGGGGGACGGAGAAGGCUAUGUUGGCCGGGCGACGGUUGUCCCGGUUUAAGCGUGUAGGCUGGUUUUCCAGGCAAAUCCGGAAAAUCAAGGCUGAGGCGUGAUGACGAGGCACUACGGUGCUGAAGCAACAAAUGCCCUGCUUCCAGGAAAAGCCUCUAAGCAUCAGGUAACAUCAAAUCGUACCCCAAACCGACACAGGUGGUCAGGUAGAGAAUACCAAGGCGCUUGAGAGAACUCGGGUGAAGGAACUAGGCAAAAUGGUGCCGUAACUUCGGGAGAAGGCACGC
This 1329-nucleotide ribosomal RNA is filed under the name Escherichia coli. RNAcentral's name for it is "partial 23S ribosomal RNA". It matches the Rfam family "Bacterial large subunit ribosomal RNA", at positions 418 to 1751 of the family's 2925-position model. Lineage: Bacteria; Pseudomonadati; Pseudomonadota; Gammaproteobacteria; Enterobacterales; Enterobacteriaceae. The record is from RNAcentral.